This 1115-nucleotide ribosomal RNA is filed under the name Lactiplantibacillus plantarum. Its description in RNAcentral is "bacterial SSU rRNA". It matches the Rfam family "Bacterial small subunit ribosomal RNA", at positions 341 to 1448 of the family's 1533-position model. The record is from RNAcentral. Lineage: Bacteria; Bacillati; Bacillota; Bacilli; Lactobacillales; Lactobacillaceae.
ACGGGAGGCAGCAGUAGGGAAUCUUCCACAAUGGACGAAAGUCUGAUGGAGCAACGCCGCGUGAGUGAAGAAGGGUUUCGGCUCGUAAAACUCUGUUGUUAAAGAAGAACAUAUCUGAGAGUAACUGUUCAGGUAUUGACGGUAUUUAACCAGAAAGCCACGGCUAACUACGUGCCAGCAGCCGCGGUAAUACGUAGGUGGCAAGCGUUGUCCGGAUUUAUUGGGCGUAAAGCGAGCGCAGGCGGUUUUUUAAGUCUGAUGUGAAAGCCUUCGGCUCAACCGAAGAAGUGCAUCGGAAACUGGGAAACUUGAGUGCAGAAGAGGACAGUGGAACUCCAUGUGUAGCGGUGAAAUGCGUAGAUAUAUGGAAGAACACCAGUGGCGAAGGCGGCUGUCUGGUCUGUAACUGACGCUGAGGCUCGAAAGUAUGGGUAGCAAACAGGAUUAGAUACCCUGGUAGUCCAUACCGUAAACGAUGAAUGCUAAGUGUUGGAGGGUUUCCGCCCUUCAGUGCUGCAGCUAACGCAUUAAGCAUUCCGCCUGGGGAGUACGGCCGCAAGGCUGAAACUCAAAGGAAUUGACGGGGGCCCGCACAAGCGGUGGAGCAUGUGGUUUAAUUCGAAGCUACGCGAAGAACCUUACCAGGUCUUGACAUACUAUGCAAAUCUAAGAGAUUAGACGUUCCCUUCGGGGACAUGGAUACAGGUGGUGCAUGGUUGUCGUCAGCUCGUGUCGUGAGAUGUUGGGUUAAGUCCCGCAACGAGCGCAACCCUUAUUAUCAGUUGCCAGCAUUAAGUUGGGCACUCUGGUGAGACUGCCGGUGACAAACCGGAGGAAGGUGGGGAUGACGUCAAAUCAUCAUGCCCCUUAUGACCUGGGCUACACACGUGCUACAAUGGAUGGUACAACGAGUUGCGAACUCGCGAGAGUAAGCUAAUCUCUUAAAGCCAUUCUCAGUUCGGAUUGUAGGCUGCAACUCGCCUACAUGAAGUCGGAAUCGCUAGUAAUCGCGGAUCAGCAUGCCGCGGUGAAUACGUUCCCGGGCCUUGUACACACCGCCCGUCACACCAUGAGAGUUUGUAACACCCAAAGUCGGUGGGGUAACCUUUUAGGAA